RNAcentral lists this ribosomal RNA (253 nucleotides) under uncultured bacterium. Its description in RNAcentral is "partial 16S ribosomal RNA". It matches the Rfam family "Bacterial small subunit ribosomal RNA", at positions 524 to 776 of the family's 1533-position model. The record is from RNAcentral.
UACGGGGGGGGCAAGCGUUGUUCGGAAUUACUGGGCGUAAAGGGCGCGUAGGCGGCCUGCUAAGUCGGAUGUGAAAUCCCUCGGCUCAACCGAGGAACUGCAUCCGAUACUGGCGGGCUUGAAUCCGGGAGAGGGAUGUGGAAUUCCAGGUGUAGCGGUGAAAUGCGUAGAUAUCUGGAGGAACACCAACGGCGAAGGCAGCUCGCUGGGACGGUACUGACGCUGAGACGCGAAAGCGUGGGGAGCGAACAGG